AACACUUUGUCUCUCGAUUUGGCGAUUGCGAAAAACUGAUGAACACCUCAAAAUCAUCGCGAUUCCGAUGAUUCGACGCCGGAAUCGUGGUUUGUUUCUUUUACCUGCCGCCGGAAUCAUCAGCUGGAUUCACGGUAAAGACCAUCGGCGAAUGGAGUGAAAACAAAUCGAAGAUUGGCAAUGGAGAAGAAGGAUUCGUUGAAGGAUGGUCCAAUUUCUUGUUCCAGAAAUUGAGAAAGGUGGUGAUAGAUGAUGAGAGACAAGUUUAAGGAAGAGGGUGAUAGAUGAAGAUUUGCAAUUUUGGCUUGAAUUUUACUUCUCAAUCUUUGUCGCUGUAUUAGUAUACCGACACCAAGUUAUAGACAUUUAGUAGUGACUGUUUUGUAUUCAUGUUAAAGCUAGUGUAAAGUUAUAGACCUUAACUGAUCACAUGACACAUCACAAUUUGAUCAACCAUAGUUGUGGUAGAGGUAGAUUUUGAGCUUUUGGCUAAUUAUUAUGUAAAGUUUUGAGCUUUUGAUUGUGGGCUUGUGUUUCUUGUUAGUAAUUCGGUUUUCUCUGCUGAUUUGUGUUUGAUUUUGAUGGUAAUGGUAGAUUUUCGUGUAGAAUAGGAGUGGUUUUUGCUACUUGUUCUGCAAUCAUCUCUUAAUGUUUGUAUUUGUUGCAGAUGGAGCCUUUACCAAGUGGAAACCUUCCUCCUGGUUUUGAUCCGACUACUUGAUGUAGUGUGUGAGUGUGUUUUGAUUGCAAUAAUCUUUUUUUUUCUUAAAAAUCCCACUAGAGAACCUACCAUUGGACACAAAAAAA
Long non-coding RNA from Arabidopsis lyrata subsp. lyrata, 807 nucleotides. RefSeq lists it as uncharacterized. The record is from RefSeq and is a predicted model, not a curated record. The transcript is spliced from 2 exons. NCBI's taxonomy places the organism in Eukaryota, Viridiplantae, Streptophyta, Magnoliopsida, Brassicales, Brassicaceae.